Lontra canadensis (Northern American river otter) is the source of this 1072-nucleotide long non-coding RNA. RefSeq lists it as uncharacterized. The record is from RefSeq and is a predicted model, not a curated record. Lineage: Eukaryota; Metazoa; Chordata; Mammalia; Carnivora; Mustelidae. The transcript is spliced from 12 exons.
GUCGGCACUGGAAGGCGCCGGGACGCCAUCUCGGUCUUUCGAGGUUGGGAGUUGGCGCUUUCCGUGAAUGGUGCCGGACACGAAUGCAGUGUGGCUUUUGAUGGCUUCUGAUGGACAGUUUCGUGCUGAAGGGGCGGAAGUGGCUGGCAAGAUCCUGAAGUUAAACACCCUGGCUAUGGGCAGGCAGGCAUUACACAGAAUGAGAUGGAAGUUGGAGGGGUGGACUUGAGUCUUUAACAUGUCUGGACAGACCAAUUAUGGGCUUACAGGCCCCUAUCAUGGAUGGCUUGCUUGGGGUGCUGAGUUUGAAGAACUUUUUAUAUAAAGGUAUGAAGAGUUGGGGCAGCUUACAAGGCCUGGAACGGGGAGUUUAAGCCAAGGCCGACUUGUCAACCUGAAGAUUUAAAGGUAAGUUGGUCUCUGGUCUGUGUGGGAAGUUAGAAUGUAACCAGUGAUGUAGUGAUUCUGCCAAAUGAAUUAGAAUGAUAUCACUCCUAAAACCGUUCCAUUUUGAUUCUGAGGUUACUUUAUUGACAAGUAUCACAAUGUUUUUUUGUUUUUUACCAUGAUUAACUUGGAAUUGUUGCUUUUAGGGCAGUUAUGCGAGAGCAGCAGUCCAGUUAUGAGAGCAGCUUAACAGUUAAAAGGCACCUGAAUGGAUGCUCAUGGGAUAGAAGAAGAAAUCAAUUUCAAUAAAUUCUUACGAACCAUCUGAUCAAGAGUGCUUAUUUCAAUUUAAUGGGAUGAAAGAAGGGAAAUAGGACACCUUUGAAGUUUAAGACCCUGUGACAGUUUAAGUAAUGACCUUUUCAUGUGUAUUUUACAGGAUGUCCUGGGUUUGAAAGUAAAAGCAGAGGAAUGUACUACAGCCUUUUUGUUUAGAAUACUGUAUUUGUGUUGAUUUAGAACAGUGACAUGACCUGGGAUGAGCUGUAUGACUUGCAGAAAUUUUCUAGGGCUGAAUGAAUCCCUGUCGGCAAAAUACUUGCUAUUGCACACCACGGUGAUGGGUCUCUUGGAAGUGUUGAUACAUUGUAUUAGGAAGUGUGGGAGGCCGCAAUAAGGCUUGAGA